This 65-nucleotide transfer RNA is filed under the name Amarygmini sp. ACP-2013. RNAcentral's name for it is "tRNA-Ile". Lineage: Eukaryota; Metazoa; Arthropoda; Insecta; Coleoptera; Tenebrionidae. The record is from RNAcentral.
AAUGAGGUGCCUGAAUAAAGGAUUAUUUUGAUAGAAUAAAUUACGUAGAAAAUCUACCUUCAUUA